UACGGAAGGCAGCAGUGGGGAAUAUUGCACAAUGGGCGAAAGCCUGAUGCAGCUAUGCCGCGUGUAUGAAGAAGGCCUUAGGGUUGUAAAGUACUUUCAUCGGGGAGGAAAAAAACAAAACUAAUAAUUUUAUUUCUUGACGUUACCCGAAAAAGAAGCACCGGCUAACUCCGUGCCAGCAGCCGCGGUAAUACGGAGGGUGCUAGCGUUAAUCAGAAUUACUGGGCGUAAAGAGCACGUAGGUGGUUUUUUAAGUCAGAUGUGAAAUCCCUGGGCUUAAACCUAGGAACUGCAUUUUGAAACUGAAAUACUAGAGUAUCGUAGAGGGAGGUAGAAUUCUAGGUGUAGCGGUGAAAUGCGUAGAUAUCUGGAGGAAUACCUGUGGCGAAAGCGGCCUCCUAAACGAACUACUGACACUGAGGUGCGAAAAGCGUGGGGAGCAAACAGGGAUUAGAUACC
RNAcentral lists this ribosomal RNA (459 nucleotides) under uncultured bacterium. Its description in RNAcentral is "bacterial SSU rRNA". It matches the Rfam family "Bacterial small subunit ribosomal RNA", at positions 340 to 786 of the family's 1533-position model. The record is from RNAcentral.